This 460-nucleotide ribosomal RNA is filed under the name uncultured bacterium. RNAcentral describes it as "partial 16S ribosomal RNA". It matches the Rfam family "Bacterial small subunit ribosomal RNA", at positions 338 to 795 of the family's 1533-position model. The record is from RNAcentral.
CCUACGGGCGGCAGCAGUGAGGAAUAUUGGUCAAUGGGCGCGAGCCUGAACCAGCCAAGUAGCGUGAAGGAUGACUGCCCUACGGGUUGUAAACUUCUUUUAUAAAGGAAUAAAGUGAGGCACGUGUGCCUUUUUGUAUGUACUGUAUGAAUAAGGAUCGGCUAACUCCGUGCCAGCAGCCGCGGUAAUACGGAGGAUCCGAGCGUUAUCCGGAUUUAUUGGGGUUAAAGGGGGCGUAGAUGGGUUGUUAAGUCAGUUGUGAAAGUUUGGGGCUUAACCGUAAAAUUGCUAUUGAUACUGGCUGUCUUGAGUGCAGUUGAGGUAGGCGGAAUGCGUGGUGUAGCGGUGAAAUGCUUAGAGAUCACGAAGAACUCCGAUUGCGAAGGCAGCUUACUAAACUGCCACUGACAUUGAUGCUCGAAAGUGUGGGUAUCAAACAGGAUUAGAUACCCGAGUAGUC